GAUGAAGAACGUAGCGAAAUGCGAUACGUAAUGUGAAUUGCAGAAUUCAGUGAAUCAUCGAAUCUUUGAACGCACAUUGCGCCCGCCAGUAUUCUGGCGGGCAUGCCUGUUCGAGCGUCAUUUCAACCCUCAAGCCCCCGGGCUUGGUGUUGGGGAUCGGCGUGCCCUCGCGGCGCGCCGUCCCCUAAAUCUAGUGGCGGUCUCGCUGUAGCUUCCUCUGCGUAGUAGCAACACUCGCACUGGAUCGCAGCGCGGCCACGCCGUUAAACCCCCCACUUCUGAAAGUUUGACCUCGGAUCAGGUAGGAAUACCCGCUGAACUUAAGCAUAUCAAUAAGCGGAGGA
RNAcentral lists this unclassified non-coding RNA (344 nucleotides) under soil metagenome. RNAcentral's name for it is "partial contains 5.8S ribosomal RNA, internal transcribed spacer 2, and large subunit ribosomal RNA". The stretch from base 1 to 120 matches the Rfam family "5.8S ribosomal RNA", at positions 35 to 154 of the family's 154-position model. The record is from RNAcentral.